Molecule: small nuclear RNA, 107 nt
Organism: Meriones unguiculatus (Mongolian gerbil)
Lineage: Eukaryota; Metazoa; Chordata; Mammalia; Rodentia; Muridae
Source: Ensembl
AUGCUAGUUUUGGAAGUACCGAUAUUGAAAUUAUAACAAUAUUGAGAAGAUUAGUAUGGUCUCUGGGCAAAGAUGGCAUGCAGAUUUGUGAUGUGAUACAUAUGUUU